UAUUAUUUAGUAUUAUGCAGACCUUUUAAUUUUUAUAAAUGUAAUUAGAAAAUUUAAAUGGAGGGGAAAAAAUAACAAAAAAAAAAUACAAGAGAGUCAUUAAAAAGAUCACGCAAGGACAAAAUGGUCAUGAAAGUUCGGUUUGUUUGGUGAGCCGCUGAAAAGAAUAAUAUUACAUAACACGUAUAUCAUCAAUUCCCGUAAACAUUUGGCGAUUAUCAGACGAUUCCCUUUUUCCUGAUUUAUUAAACAAAGUUGACUAGCGUACGGACGGGACCAUAGGUUUUACGAUACCACACACCCGAAAGCAGCAAAAGAAAGAAUAUAAAAGAGCCCUUCCUUUUAACCUUUAAGCUGCAGAGAUCAGAUCGGCGGUAUCGUGUCAGAUCCUGUCCACGUCGACACAUAUCCCUAGAUGAUGAAACAAUCAGACGGUCAGAAAUCAUCGCGGACGCUUGAUAUGAUGGACAGGACCUCUUGAGAUACUUGCUUUUGUGGCACGGGAGAGAGAGCCGGACAACGAUAUCAUAGGAUCUGCAUGCUUUAACUUGCACGAGCCCUGCAAUUAUGGAUCCGAUCCUGCAAAUAAUCUCUAUAUGUAUUAAAAAAAAUACAGACAUAAAAAUAAAUUUCCAAAGCCAUACCCAUACGUCCAUCAUUUUCAUGACCAGAAAGAAAG
RNAcentral lists this long non-coding RNA (679 nucleotides) under Citrus sinensis (sweet orange). RNAcentral describes it as "long non-coding RNA (CSIN_LNC000305)". Lineage: Eukaryota; Viridiplantae; Streptophyta; Magnoliopsida; Sapindales; Rutaceae. The record is from RNAcentral.